This 449-nucleotide ribosomal RNA is filed under the name uncultured bacterium. RNAcentral describes it as "bacterial SSU rRNA". It matches the Rfam family "Bacterial small subunit ribosomal RNA", at positions 329 to 792 of the family's 1533-position model. The record is from RNAcentral.
GUCCAGACUCCUACGGGAGGCAGCAGUGGGGGAUAUUGGACAAUGGGGGAAACCCUGAUCCAGCGACGCCGCGUGAGUGAAGAAGUAUUUCGGUAUGUAAAGCUCUAUCAGCAGGGAAGAAAGAAAUGACGGUACCUGAGUAAGAAGCCCCGGCUAACUACGUGCCAGCAGCCGCGGUAAUACGUAGGGGGCAAGCGUUAUCCGGAAUUACUGGGUGUAAAGGGAGCGUAGACGGUUAAGCAAGUCUGGAGUGAAAGGCGGGGGCCCAACCCCCGGACUGCUCUGGAAACUGUACGGCUGGAGUGCAGGAGAGGUAAGUGGAAUUCCUAGUGUAGCGGUGAAAUGCGUAGAUAUUAGGAGGAACACCAGUGGCGAAGGCGGCUUACUGGACUGUAACUGACGUUGAGGCUCGAAAGCGUGGGGAGCAAACAGGAUUAGAUACCCUUGUA